CGGGGCGUGGCGCAGUCUGGUAGCGCAUCUGCUUUGGGAGCAGAGAGUCGGAGGUUCAAAUCCUCUCGCCCCGACCA
RNAcentral lists this transfer RNA (77 nucleotides) under Pseudomonadota bacterium. RNAcentral describes it as "tRNA-Pro". It matches the Rfam family "tRNA". From Rfam's summary of the family: Transfer RNA (tRNA) molecules are approximately 80 nucleotides in length. Their secondary structure includes four short double-helical elements and three loops (D, anti-codon, and T loops). The record is from RNAcentral. RNAcentral also lists the same sequence under 1 other name. Lineage: Bacteria; Pseudomonadati; Pseudomonadota.